ACUGCUGACUUGAAUCUAAUCAGAACACAGACUGAAUUCUACUACCCAGCCAGGCCUCUCAAAAUCAAAUCCAGAGACGUAGAAGCAUCUUAUAACAUGGUUGGUGGACCUGGAGACAGAAAGACCUAAGUUCAAAUCUUACUGGUUACUUACUAACCAUAUUACCUUGGGCAAGCCACAUAACUCCUGUUUGCCUCAGUUUCCUCAAGUGUAAAAUGCUUACCUAAUGCCAGUGGUGAGAUGGAAUUAUUCCUCUCAGAGACCAAAGGAAGAAAAAGAUAAGCAUGUCGAAUAGCCUACAUUGGAUUGGAGAGCAAUUGGAGAGCUGAGUAGAAACUGAGACUUGUGAACUCCAU
Molecule: long non-coding RNA, 356 nt
Organism: Monodelphis domestica (gray short-tailed opossum)
Lineage: Eukaryota; Metazoa; Chordata; Mammalia; Didelphimorphia; Didelphidae
Source: Ensembl